AAUUUUCAAAGUCUUAUUUUGUUACAUUGAUAUCACCUCCCUUUAAAUGAGAUCACCUCAAUUGAAACAGCUAUAAUAGUCGUAAAUGUUGAGAAAUAGAAGUGUCUACGCAACAAAAGGAAGAUAUUAGAGAGGGCGUGGGACCAAUACUGUGUCAAUAUCAGCGGAAGCUUGCGUAAUACUGCAUUCUGAAAGUUUGGUCAUCCACUGGGAAAAGAAGAGAUACGUGUCUUUCUUGUGUCAUGGAGUUGAAGGCUUGAAGCUGCAACGACCGCUCCUCUUUGCAAUGGCUGCCCCUUCUCUACACGUAGGGAGCACCAGGGGAAACUUGUUCACUUAAAAUAUGGCGCUCUCAGCCUCACCUCAUUUUUGGAAAUGACAAC
This 383-nucleotide long non-coding RNA is filed under the name Nicotiana benthamiana. Its description in RNAcentral is "long non-coding RNA (NBEN_LNC025868)". Lineage: Eukaryota; Viridiplantae; Streptophyta; Magnoliopsida; Solanales; Solanaceae. The record is from RNAcentral.